UGUCCCGGUCGUUCAAUGGAUAGGACAUAGUCCUGCGAAGACUAUAAUCCCGGUUCGAUCCCGGGUCGGGGCAU
Molecule: transfer RNA, 74 nt
Filed under: candidate division SR1 bacterium
Lineage: Bacteria; Candidatus Absconditibacteriota
Description: tRNA-Arg
Rfam family: tRNA
About the family: Transfer RNA (tRNA) molecules are approximately 80 nucleotides in length. Their secondary structure includes four short double-helical elements and three loops (D, anti-codon, and T loops).
Source: RNAcentral